AAGACUGUACUUUCAGGGAUCAUUUCUAUAGUUCGUUACUUAAAAAUGUAAACAUAUACCUACCAUACAACCAACGCAUUCCACUCCUAGGUAUUUUGC
Small nucleolar RNA from Vicugna pacos (alpaca), 99 nucleotides. Its record names the gene U3. It matches the Rfam family "Small nucleolar RNA U3". From Rfam's summary of the family: Small nucleolar RNAs (snoRNAs) are involved in the processing and modification of rRNA in the nucleolus. There are two main classes of snoRNAs: the box C/D class, and the box H/ACA class. The record is from Ensembl. NCBI's taxonomy places the organism in Eukaryota, Metazoa, Chordata, Mammalia, Artiodactyla, Camelidae.